GAUCGAACGCUGGCGGCAUGGCUAAAACAUGCAAGUCGGACGCGAACGUUCCUUCGGGAAACAAGUAGAGUGGCGAACGGGCGAGGAAUACAUGGGAAACGUACCCCAGGCACAGGGAUAGCUGUGGGAAACCGCAGGUAAUACCUGAUGAGACCACAGUGUCAUAAGGCACAGCGGUCAAAGGGUGGGGACCUUCGGGCCUAUCGGCCUGGGAGCGGCCCAUGUCCUAUCAGCUUGUUGGUGAGGUAACGGCUCACCAAGGCGACGACGGGUACCGGGACUGAGAGGUUGACCCGGCGCAUUGGGACUGAGACACUGCCCAGACUCCUACGGGAGGCUGCAGUAACGAAUAUUGGGCUAAUGUGCGAAAGCAUGACCCAGCAAUGCCGCGUGUGGGAAGAAGCCCUUCGGGGUGUAAACCACUGUCAGGGGUUAGCAAGCAAUCCGGUCGAAUAGGCCGGUGCGUUGAGCAGCCCCAGAGGAAGCCACGGCUAACUUCGUGCCAGCAGCCGCGGUAAGACGAAGGUGGCAAGCGUUGUUCGGAAUCACUGGGCUUAAAGGGCACGCAGGCGGCUGAUCAAGUGUCUUGUGAAAUCCCUCGACUCAACCGAGGAAUUGCAGGGCAAACUGGUCGGCUUGAGGCAGGUAGGGGCAAGUGGAACUCUUGGUGGAGCGGUGGAAUGCGUAGAUCUCAAGAGGAACGCCAGUGGCGAAAGCGACUUGCUAGGCCUGUCCUGACGCUGAGGUGCGAAAGCCAGGGGAGCGAACGGGAUUAGAUACCCCGGUAGUCCUGGCCCUUAACGAUGUCCACUAGGUCGGAGGUUCUCUGACGGAGUUCCGGCCGAAACGAAAGCGUUAAGUGGACCGUCUGGGGAGUACGGUCGCAAGGCUAAAAUUCAAAGGACUUGACGGGGGCUCACACAAGCCGUGGGAGCCUGUUGCCUUAAUUCGAAUGCACGCGAAGAACCUUAUCUUGGCCUUGAAUGUUCGGAUGCCUUCUGGAACCGGGUCGGGUGGCCUUCGGGGUGACCGGUCACCGGUGCUGCUUGCUGUCGUCAGCUCGUGUCGUGAGAUGUUGGUUUAAGUCCCGUAACGAGCGAAACCCUUGUCGCUUAGUUGCCAGCGCGUAAUGCCGGGGACUCUAGCGAGACUGCCGGUGUUAAACCGGGAGGAAGGUGGGGAUGACGUCAAGUCCUCA
RNAcentral lists this ribosomal RNA (1198 nucleotides) under uncultured organism. Its description in RNAcentral is "bacterial SSU rRNA". It matches the Rfam family "Bacterial small subunit ribosomal RNA", at positions 27 to 1195 of the family's 1533-position model. The record is from RNAcentral.